Molecule: ribosomal RNA, 2908 nt
Filed under: Salmonella enterica subsp. enterica
Lineage: Bacteria; Pseudomonadati; Pseudomonadota; Gammaproteobacteria; Enterobacterales; Enterobacteriaceae
Description: 23S ribosomal RNA
Rfam family: Bacterial large subunit ribosomal RNA
Source: RNAcentral
GGUUAAGCGACCAAGCGUACACGGUGGAUGCCCUGGCAGUCAGAGGCGAUGAAGGACGUGCUAAUCUGCGAUAAGCGCCGGUAAGGUGAUAUGAACCGUUAUAACCGGCGAUUUCCGAAUGGGGAAACCCAGUGUGAUUCGUCACACUAUCAUUAACUGAAUCCAUAGGUUAAUGAGGCGAACCGGGGGAACUGAAACAUCUAAGUACCCCGAGGAAAAGAAAUCAACCGAGAUUCCCCCAGUAGCGGCGAGCGAACGGGGAGGAGCCCAGAGCCUGAAUCAGCAUGUGUGUUAGUGGAAGCGUCUGGAAAGGCGCGCGAUACAGGGUGACAGCCCCGUACACAAAAGCGCAUGUGCUGUGAGCUCGAUGAGUAGGGCGGGACACGUGGUAUCCUGUCUGAAUAUGGGGGGACCAUCCUCCAAGGCUAAAUACUCCUGACUGACCGAUAGUGAACCAGUACCGUGAGGGAAAGGCGAAAAGAACCCCGGCGAGGGGAGUGAAACAGAACCUGAAACCGUGUACGUACAAGCAGUGGGAGCACAGGUUUACCUGUGUGACUGCGUACCUUUUGUAUAAUGGGUCAGCGACUUAUAUUCUGUAGCAAGGUUAACCGCAUAGGGGAGCCGAAGGGAAACCGAGUCUUAACCGGGCGUUAAGUUGCAGGGUAUAGACCCGAAACCCGGUGAUCUAGCCAUGGGCAGGUUGAAGGUUGGGUAACACUAACUGGAGGACCGAACCGACUAAUGUUGAAAAAUUAGCGGAUGACCUGUGGCUGGGGGUGAAAGGCCAAUCAAACCGGGAGAUAGCUGGUUCUCCCCGAAAGCUAUUUAGGUAGCGCCUCGUGAACUCAUCUCCGGGGGUAGAGCACUGUUUCGGCUAGGGGGCCAUCCCGGCUUACCAACCCGAUGCAAACUGCGAAUACCGGAGAAUGUUAUCACGGGAGACACACGGCGGGUGCUAACGUCCGUCGUGAAGAGGGAAACAACCCAGACCGCCAGCUAAGGUCCCAAAGUCAUGGUUAAGUGGGAAACGAUGUGGGAAGGCCCAGACAGCCAGGAUGUUGGCUUAGAAGCAGCCAUCAUUUAAAGAAAGCGUAAUAGCUCACUGGUCGAGUCGGCCUGCGCGGAAGAUGUAACGGGGCUAAACCAUGCACCGAAGCUGCGGCAGCGACGCUUAUGCGUUGUUGGGUAGGGGAGCGUUCUGUAAGCCUGCGAAGGUGGCCUGUGAGGGUUGCUGGAGGUAUCAGAAGUGCGAAUGCUGACAUAAGUAACGAUAAAGCGGGUGAAAAGCCCGCUCGCCGGAAGACCAAGGGUUCCUGUCCAACGUUAAUCGGGGCAGGGUGAGUCGACCCCUAAGGCGAGGCCGAAAGGCGUAGUCGAUGGGAAACGGGUUAAUAUUCCCGUACUUGGUGUUACUGCGAAGGGGGGACGGAGAAGGCUAUGUUGGCCGGGCGACGGUUGUCCCGGUUUAAGCGUGUAGGUGUGUGUUCCAGGUAAAUCCGGUUCACUUUAACACUGAGGCGUGAUGACGAGGCACCACGGUGCUGAAGCAACAAAUGCCCUGCUUCCAGGAAAAGCCUCUAAGCAUCAGGUAACAUCAAAUCGUACCCCAAACCGACACAGGUGGUCAGGUAGAGAAUACCAAGGCGCUUGAGAGAACUCGGGUGAAGGAACUAGGCAAAAUGGUGCCGUAACUUCGGGAGAAGGCACGCUGACACGUAGGUGAAGUGGUUUACCCAUGGAGCUGAAGUCAGUCGAAGAUACCAGCUGGCUGCAACUGUUUAUUAAAAACACAGCACUGUGCAAACACGAAAGUGGACGUAUACGGUGUGACGCCUGCCCGGUGCCGGAAGGUUAAUUGAUGGGGUCAGCGCAAGCGAAGCUCCUGAUCGAAGCCCCGGUAAACGGCGGCCGUAACUAUAACGGUCCUAAGGUAGCGAAAUUCCUUGUCGGGUAAGUUCCGACCUGCACGAAUGGCGUAAUGAUGGCCAGGCUGUCUCCACCCGAGACUCAGUGAAAUUGAACUCGCUGUGAAGAUGCAGUGUACCCGCGGCAAGACGGAAAGACCCCGUGAACCUUUACUAUAGCUUGACACUGAACAUUGAGCCUUGAUGUGUAGGAUAGGUGGGAGGCUUUGAAGCGUGGACGCCAGUCUGCGUGGAGCCGACCUUGAAAUACCACCCUUUAAUGUUUGAUGUUCUAACGUGGACCCGUGAUCCGGGUUGCGGACAGUGUCUGGUGGGUAGUUUGACUGGGGCGGUCUCCUCCUAAAGAGUAACGGAGGAGCACGAAGGUUGGCUAAUCCUGGUCGGACAUCAGGAGGUUAGUGCAAUGGCAUAAGCCAGCUUGACUGCGAGCGUGACGGCGCGAGCAGGUGCGAAAGCAGGUCAUAGUGAUCCGGUGGUUCUGAAUGGAAGGGCCAUCGCUCAACGGAUAAAAGGUACUCCGGGGAUAACAGGCUGAUACCGCCCAAGAGUUCAUAUCGACGGCGGUGUUUGGCACCUCGAUGUCGGCUCAUCACAUCCUGGGGCUGAAGUAGGUCCCAAGGGUAUGGCUGUUCGCCAUUUAAAGUGGUACGCGAGCUGGGUUUAGAACGUCGUGAGACAGUUCGGUCCCUAUCUGCCGUGGGCGCUGGAGAACUGAGGGGGGCUGCUCCUAGUACGAGAGGACCGGAGUGGACGCAUCACUGGUGUUCGGGUUGUCAUGCCAAUGGCACUGCCCGGUAGCUAAAUGCGGAAGAGAUAAGUGCUGAAAGCAUCUAAGCACGAAACUUGCCCCGAGAUGAGUUCUCCCUGAGACUUUGAGUCUCCUGAAGGAACGUUGAAGACGACGACGUUGAUAGGCCGGGUGUGUAAGCGCAGCGAUGCGUUGAGCUAACCGGUACUAAUGAACCGUGAGGCUUAACCUU